AAACCGCCUAGAGGUAAACGGGUGGAUCCGCAAAGUCGGCCCGCGGAAUUCAGCUCGGGAGGUUGCGCGCCCGCGGGUGGGUCGGGGAUCUUUAUCGACCCUCCCACCUCGGGACCGCGCGUCGACCGUGUGCACUUUCCGCGGGCAGAGCGCCACGACCGGUUCUCGGGCGGUCAGAAGGCGGCGGGGAUGGUAGGCGUGCGCUUCGGCGCGCGCUGGUAUAGCCCCGCCUGUCCCGAUCCGCUCGGGGACCGAGGAGCCGCCGCCGGCAGAGGCCGCCUUGCCUUCCUGGGAGGUUCGACUGGCAGAGACUGGGCAACCGUGUCUGCUGACCGCCUCUCGGUGAUGGAUGGGGUGGGCCCGCCGGCACAGGGUCGGUGGCGAAUCGGUCGGCCCUCCACCCGACCCGUCUUGAA
RNAcentral lists this ribosomal RNA (416 nucleotides) under Trochita calyptraeformis. RNAcentral describes it as "partial 28S ribosomal RNA". Lineage: Eukaryota; Metazoa; Mollusca; Gastropoda; Littorinimorpha; Calyptraeidae. The record is from RNAcentral.